RNAcentral lists this ribosomal RNA (392 nucleotides) under uncultured bacterium. Its description in RNAcentral is "bacterial SSU rRNA". It matches the Rfam family "Bacterial small subunit ribosomal RNA", at positions 28 to 423 of the family's 1533-position model. The record is from RNAcentral.
GACGAACGCUGGCGGCGUGCUUAACACAUGCAAGUCGAGCGGUAAGGCCCUUUCGGGGGUACACGAGCGGCGAACGGGUGAGUAACACGUGGGUGACCUGCCCUCGGCUCUAGGAUAAGCCUGGGAAACCGGGUCUAAUACUGGAUAUGACUCCAUGACGCAUGUUGUGGGGUGGAAAGCCUUGUGCGGCUGAGGAUGGGCCCGCGGCCUAUCAGCUUGUUGGUGGGGUGAUGGCCUACCAAGGCGACGACGGGUAGCCGGCCUGAGAGGGCGACCGGCCACACUGGGACUGAGACACGGCCCAGACUCCUACGGGAGGCAGCAGUGGGGAACCUUGCGCAAUGGGCGAAAGCCUGACGCAGCGACGCCGCGUGAGGGAUGACGGCCUCGGU